Nycticebus coucang (slow loris) is the source of this 107-nucleotide small nuclear RNA. The record is from RefSeq and is a predicted model, not a curated record. NCBI's taxonomy places the organism in Eukaryota, Metazoa, Chordata, Mammalia, Primates, Lorisidae.
GAGCUCAGUUUGGCAGCACAUAUACUAAAGUGGGAACAAUACAGAGAAGAUCAGCAUGGUCUCUGCAUAAGGAUGACACACAAAUUAGUAAAGUGUUCCAAAAAAAA